AUGCCCACUCAGCCCCACGUACCCUAUCCUAGCCAACCGCAAAGGCACUCAAAUGAGGGGGGCCCCAAAGGGCCAUGCUGGCAGCCAAGCAAGCAGGGCUCCGUCGUGCAUGGGGCAGUGCUUGGGUGGGGGCUCCCCGCUGCCACCCCCCAUGGCUCAGCGCCUCCCUCCCACACCCAGCCCCACCUCCCGCCCGCGGCCGGGGCUGCCACCAGAACAGGCACCUGCCGCCCAGCCUGUUCGGGAGGGCGAGUUCAGCAGCCGGCAGCACCUGCCUGGGCCUGGCGCCAGCCCCGGCCCGGCGGCACCCAGCCGCCCCUUCCCGGGAACCCCUAUAUGGCACUGGACUUCCCCUUCACUGCACCCUUGGCUCCCAGCACUGGUCUUGGGGCUGCCCAAGACCCCAGUCCAUCCCUUUUCAAGGGCUGGAGGCGGGGAAGGACACUGCUACAAAUGACCCUGGGGAGGCCCCAGCCUUUUGGCUCAACCUCUCCCUGGGACGUGCACAUCACCCCACAGCUCAGCGAGGCCGGACAUGGGACGGGAAGGGGAAGGAUGCGGAUAGGACAAUGCAGGCUUCCUGCGCAGGUGGCCGGACCCAGGGGGAGGAAGGCGGGCAGCAAGGCUUCAGCCUCAGUGCCUCAUCCUCGAGCAGCUGGGAGAGCCCCAUGGGGAUCUUCUGGCCCCCAACCCUCAAAUUAUGCCCCGAGGGGGAGCCUCGGCCCUGGAAUGAGGGCCGGGGGGCCCGAGGCUCCCCGCCAGGCCCCGUCUGUUGGGCCUCACCCAGGAAGCUGCCCUGGUUCUCAGCACACACGCCGGGUAAACAAACACCCCGCUUUUAAUUGCUGCCACGCACAAACCUGUCUGACAGCUCCCGGCCUGCGCUGUCACCUCCCUCCCUCGGCUCAGCACCUGCUCCGGGCACCGCCGGCGCGGAGAGAGGGGGAAGCGGGCGGGGAGAGCCCGGGGGGAGGUGCGGGCCCCAGCCCCCCGCCGGAGCACGGCACCACCGAGGCCCCUUUGUCCCCUGGGCGCUCGGCGGCGGCGGGAGCGCCAUCGGCCCCGGGAGAGGGGAGCGGAGCGCGGCGGAGCGCGCGGGGCGAUGCUCCGCGGAUCCCGCGGGAAUCCGGGGCCGCGCCCGGCCGCUGCGCGCCGCAGCCCAAGGACAAAGCGCUGCGGCCGCGCGGAGCGGGGGGGGCGGCACCGGGGAACCGUCGGGGGCGCUGGGGGGGUACCGGGGCGGGCACCGGCGGCGGGGCCGGGCCGCACUCACCAUGCCGGCGGCGCUGCGGUCCACGCGCGGCUCCGCUCCUUCCCUCGCCGCGUUUGAACGCGCCCCUCGGCCGCGGCCGCGCGGGGAGCGGGCGGAGCCGGCAGCGGCAAAUCGCGGCGCGGAGGCGGGAGGCGCCGGGGCGGGGCGGCUGCGGGGAGGGGCGGCAGAGCCCGGCGGCGAGGACGCGGUUUCCCGCGGCCUCCCCGGGAGCGGAGGGCCGUGCCCGUGGCCGAGCGGAGCCCCGAGGUUCUGCCCCCUGUGCCCGCCACGUGCCCCGGCCGCCGUCGAGGUAUCCGUGCGGCACCGCGACGGCGCGGAGCAUCCCUCGGUGCUUGGCCCUCCGGUUGGGUGACCCGCAGCGCUGCGGCGGGCCACAUCCCAGCACCUCGGUGCCCGCCCUCCCACGGAGCGAUGGUGCUCACAGUGUCCCCAAGCCAAGGUUCGGGGCCGCCCACAUCCGCCCUGCUCGCUGCCAGCUUCCCCCCCCCCACGGUGUGUGCUGCCAGCGCUCACCCACACGCACACACUGUCCCCAUCCCCACAUGCUCAGUGCGGUACCGAGGCUCUCACCGUGUUCCCCACAUCACCCACAUGGCCUCCGAGCUGCAGGGCUGCGGCCCUGA
Molecule: long non-coding RNA, 1896 nt
Organism: Numida meleagris (helmeted guineafowl)
Lineage: Eukaryota; Metazoa; Chordata; Aves; Galliformes; Numididae
Source: Ensembl